RNAcentral lists this ribosomal RNA (406 nucleotides) under uncultured bacterium. Its description in RNAcentral is "partial 16S ribosomal RNA". It matches the Rfam family "Bacterial small subunit ribosomal RNA", at positions 30 to 526 of the family's 1533-position model. The record is from RNAcentral.
AUUGAACGCUGGCGGCAGGCCUAACACAUGCAAGUCGAACGAGUGGCGGACGGGUGAGUAAUGUCUGGGAAACUGCCCGAUGGAGGGGGAUAACUACUGGAAACGGUAGCUAAUACCGCAUACCAUCGGAUGUGCCCAGAUGGGAUUAGCUUGUAGGUGAGGUAACGGCUCACCUAGGCGACGAGCCCUAGCUGGUCUGAGAGGAUGACCAGCCAAACUGGAACUGAUACACGGUCCAGACACCUACGGGAGGGAGCAGUGGGGAAUAUGGCACAAUGGGCGCAAGCCUGAGGCAGCCAUGCCGAGUGUAUGAAGAAGGCCUUCGGGUUGUAAAUUACUUUCAGCGGGGAGGCGUUACCCGCAGAAGAAGCAACGCCUAACUCCGGGCCAGCCGCCGCGGUAAGUC